AAAAUAAAUUAUCAAGCAAAUGUUUUUCAAUUCAAUAAUAAAGGUUGCAACACUUGAAGGGAUUUCUACUAUGAUAGACAACUAUUGAUCAUAAAAUUCCAGAAUCGGAUGACUGGGAGCAGUGGCAAACUAGAAAUAGAAAAUUAUAGAAGAAAAUUCCAGAUCAAACCCCAUAUAUCUAUAUUCAUAGAACUAACACAUUCUUUUUUGCGGGGUCAUAGAACUAACACAUUCACUAGUUAAAAUUGUUUAACUCUAGAAGUGGUACUCCACUUUCAGUCUACAUUUGCACCAAAAUAUACAGAAAGAAGUUCUCUAGCUAUAUUUGCAGCACGGCCUUUAAACUUAUCUUCCCAGAGCUUGCAUGUAGUACUCCUACUGGGAUUCACUGAUUUAGUAUGCAGUUGUAGCGACAAUUUGCUGCAAUGGAAGAUCUCCUCACCAUAAGAAAAACUUGGGGCUAGCCGUUAUUUUCACAAAUGUACUGUCAUAUAAACUCAAAACACUUUCUGAAGUUGUUCUAGUUACUGGUCAGAAGAAAAAGGGAACAAAAGUUUACAAAGAAUGAAAUCUCACCGGCCAAGUGCUCUCGGUGGGCAAGGAGGCGGCGCUGCACCUGGGGGAGGAUGUACAGGAGGUGGAGCUUCUCGGGAGAGGGGCCCUGCUCAGGUGAGGGAAACAUGAGGCAGCCCAACUUAGUGCUCGGGGAGGGAUGCUCGUGGAGGAGGAGGCCCUGCUUGGGGGAGAAAGCUUGAGGAGGAGGAGGCCUGCUCGGCGGAGGAAACCUGCGGAGGAGGUGGCUGUUGUGGUGGGGAUGGAGGGCGAUCGGCGACUUUCCUCGGGAGGAAGCAGGCGCUAGGUGCAGCAGGGGAUGGGGAGGAAGCGGCCAAGGGAUUCGUCGGUGUAGGAGGGUGCUCGGCGACGACUAGGCGGUCGGCGGCGACUGUGCUCGGGGCGGAAGCCUACGCUGAGGUGGAGUGGCUGGUGGAGGUGGUGGCGGCGGCGUGGUCUGGUUGGACGCGGCGGCGUGGUCGGGUUGGAGGGUUAGGUUUUGCAAGAUUUGGGGAAGAAAUGGUCAGGGCGAU
Molecule: long non-coding RNA, 1085 nt
Filed under: Triticum aestivum (bread wheat)
Lineage: Eukaryota; Viridiplantae; Streptophyta; Magnoliopsida; Poales; Poaceae
Description: long non-coding RNA (TAES_LNC005648)
Source: RNAcentral